RNAcentral lists this ribosomal RNA (488 nucleotides) under uncultured bacterium. RNAcentral's name for it is "partial 16S ribosomal RNA". It matches the Rfam family "Bacterial small subunit ribosomal RNA", at positions 28 to 507 of the family's 1533-position model. The record is from RNAcentral.
GACGAACGCUGGCGGCGUGCUUAACACAUGCAAGUCGAACGGAAAGGCCCUGCUUUUGUGUUGUGCUCGAUUGGCGAACGGGUGAGUAACACGUGAGUAACCUGCCCUUUACUUUGGGAUAACUUCAGGAAACUGGGUCUAAUACCGGAUAUGAGCUCCUGCUACAUGUUAUGGGUUGUAAAGUUUCGGCGGUUGGGGAUUGACUCGCGGCGUAUCAGCUUGUUGGUGGGGGAAUUGCUUACCAAGGCUUUGACGGGUAGCCGACCUGAGCGGGUGAUCGGCCACACUGGGACUGAGACACGGCCCAGAGGCCUACGGGAGGCGGCAGGAGGGAAACUGCGGCAAUGGGCGGAAGUCUGACCGAGCGACGCCGCGUGAGUGAAGACGGUUGUCGGAUCGGAAAACACGGUUGUUAGAGAAGAACAAGGACGUGAGUAACUGAACGCCCCCGGACGGGAUCUAAUCAGAAAGCCACGGCUAACUACGUG